This 518-nucleotide ribosomal RNA is filed under the name uncultured fungus. RNAcentral's name for it is "SSU rRNA". It matches the Rfam family "Eukaryotic small subunit ribosomal RNA", at positions 214 to 732 of the family's 1831-position model. The record is from RNAcentral. Lineage: Eukaryota; Fungi.
AUUAAAAACCAAUGCCCUUCGGGGCUCUCUGGUGAUUCAUAAUAACUUCUCGAAUCGCACGGCCUUGCGCCGGCGAUGGUUCAUUCAAAUUUCUGCCCUAUCAACUUUCGACGGCUGGGUCUUGGCCAGCCGUGGUGACAACGGGUAACGGAGGGUUAGGGCUCGACCCCGGAGAAGGAGCCUGAGAAACGGCUACUACAUCCAAGGAAGGCAGCAGGCGCGCAAAUUACCCAAUCCCGACACGGGGAGGUAGUGACAAUAAAUACUGAUACAGGGCUCUUUCGGGUCUUGUAAUUGGAAUGAGUACAAUUUAAAUCCCUUAACGAGGAACAAUUGGAGGGCAAGUCUGGUGCCAGCAGCCGCGGUAAUUCCAGCUCCAAUAGCGUAUAUUAAAGUUGUUGAGGUUAAAAAGCUCGUAGUUGAACCUUGGGCCUAGCCGGCCAGUCCGCCUCACCGCGUGCACUGGCUCGGCUGGGUCUUUCCUUCUGGAGAACCGCAUGCCCUUCACUGGGUGUGCC